This 1213-nucleotide ribosomal RNA is filed under the name metagenome. RNAcentral's name for it is "bacterial LSU rRNA". It matches the Rfam family "Bacterial large subunit ribosomal RNA", at positions 1635 to 2840 of the family's 2925-position model. The record is from RNAcentral.
UAUACGACCGUACCGCAAACCGACACUGGUGCGCGAGAUGAGUAUUCUAAGGCGCUUGAGAGAACUCAGGAGACGGAACUCGGCAAAUUGACACCGUAACUUCGGAAGAAGGUGUGCCCUAUUAGUGUGUAGUGAACAACGAAGCAUGAAUGGGUUGCAAAAAAUCGGUGGCUGCGACUGUUUAUUAAAAACACAGCACUCUGCAAACACGAAAGUGGACGUAUAGGGUGUGACGCCUGCCCGGUGCUGGAAGAUUAAAUGAUGGGGUGCAAGCUCUUGAUUGAAGUCCCAGUAAACGGCGGCCGUAACAAUAACGGUCCUAAGGUAGCGAAAUUCCUUGUCGGGUAAGUUCCGACCUGCACGAAUGGCGUAACGAUGGCCACACUGUCUCCUCCUGAGACUCAGCGAAGUUGAAAUGUUUGUGAUGAUGCAAUCUCCCCGCGGAAAGACGGAAAGACCCCAUGAACCUUUACUGUAGCUUUGUAUUGGACUUUGAACAGAUCUGUGUAGGAUAGGUGGGAGGCUUUGAAGCAGGGUCGCUAGAUCUUGUGGAGCCAACGUUGAAAUACCACCCUGGUGUGUUUGAGGUUCUAACCUAGGUCCAUUAUCUGGAUCGGGGACAGUGCAUGGUAGGCAGUUUGACUGGGGCGGUCUCCUCCCAAAGCGUAACGGAGGAGUUCGAAGGUACGCUAGUUACGGUCGGACAUCGUGACGAUAGUGCAAUGGCAUAAGCGUGCUUAACUGCGAGACUGACAAGUCAAGCAGAUGCGAAAGCAGGACAUAGUGAUCCGGUGGUUCUGUAUGGAAGGGCCAUCGCUCAACGGAUAAAAGGUACUCUGGGGAUAACAGGCUGAUACCGCCCAAGAGUUCAUAUCGACGGCGGUGUUUGGCACCUCGAUGUCGGCUCAUCUCAUCCUGGGGCUGUAGCCGGUCCCAAGGGUAUGGCUGUUCGCCAUUUAAAGAGGUACGUGAGCUGGGUUUAAAACGUCGUGAGACAGUUUGGUCCCUAUCUUCCGUGGGCGCUGCAGAUUUGAGGAAGCCUGCUCCUAGUACGAGAGGACCGGAGUGGACACACCUCUGGUGUAUCGGUUGUCACGCCAGUGGCAUUGCCGAGUAGCUAAGUGUGGAAGAGAUAACCGCUGAAAGCAUCUAAGCGGGAAACUCGUUUCAAGAUGAGAUCUGCCGGGGCCUUGAGCCCCCUAAAGAGUCGUUC